Non-coding RNA from Acanthosepion pharaonis, 113 nucleotides. Lineage: Eukaryota; Metazoa; Mollusca; Cephalopoda; Sepiida; Sepiidae. The record is from the annotation of a GenBank genome assembly.
UUACGACCAUAUCACGUUGAAAUACCGGUUCUCGUACGAUCACCGAAGUUAAACAACGACGAGCCUGGUCAGUUUCCUGAUAGGUGAGCACUUGGGAAUAGCAAGUGCUGUAA